Molecule: ribosomal RNA, 1179 nt
Filed under: Triticum aestivum (bread wheat)
Lineage: Eukaryota; Viridiplantae; Streptophyta; Magnoliopsida; Poales; Poaceae
Description: partial small subunit ribosomal RNA
Source: RNAcentral
AUGACGACCACGACCACCACGACGAAGACGGCGCUGCGCCACCGCGGGUGCUGCGGGCACGCGCCGGCGCCGGCGGAGGACGGCGGCGACCUGGUGGCGCUGUCGAGCGCGGCGGCGGAGGGGCUCGGGAAAGAGGCCGCCAGGUGGGCCGGCGGGCUGCCGCGGCUGAAGCGGUUCGAGGAGCUGCCGGACUACCUCCGCGACAACGAGUUCAUCCGCGGCGGCUACCGCUGCGAGUGGUCCGUCCGCGACGCGCUCCGCAGCGUCUUCGCCUGGCACAACGAGACGCUCAACGUCUGGACCCAUCUGGGGGGCUUCUUCCUGUUCCUGGGGCUCGCCGUCGCCGGCCAGACGGAGUGGCGGCCGGCCGGAGCAGCCGCGGCGCCGGGGUUCAUGACGAUGGUGAUGACGUCCGCCAACGCGUCGUCGUUGGCGACCAACAACAGUUCGGUAAGAAAACGAAAACUCCUUCAUCACUCGACGACUAAUCCAACCGCAUCUUCACUAAGCACGGCGAUCCAGAGCGCGCUGGCGUCGGGCAUCGGCGGCGCGGGGCACGCGGUGGCGCGGUGGCCGCGGACGGUGUUCGUGUUGGGGGCCAUGACGUGCCUGUCGGUGAGCGCUGCGGCGCACCUGCUGGCAAGCCACUCGCGCCGCUUCAACCGGCUCUUCUGGCAGCUCGACUACGCCGGCAUCGCCGUCAUGAUCGUCGCCUCCUUCUUCCCGCCGGUCUACUACACCUUCCUCGGCAGCCCCGUCGCACAGCUCGCCUACCUCUCCGCCAUCACGCUGCUCGGCGUGCUCGUCGUGGCGGCGCUCCUGGUGCCGGCCCGCUCGUCGCCGCGGCUGCGGCACCUCCGCGCCGGCCUGUUCGUGUCCAUGGGGCUCUCGGGCGUCGUGCCGGCGCUGCACGCGCUCUGGCUCAACUGGGGCCACCCGGAGUGCUACCUGGCGCUGUCGCUGGAGCUGGCCAUGGGGCUCGUGUACGCCACGGGCGCCGGCUUCUACGUCGCGCGCGUGCCGGAGCGGUGGCGCCCGGGCAUGUUCGACUGCGUCGGCCACAGCCACCAGAUCUUCCACGUGCUGGUGCUCGUCGGCGCCGUCACGCACUACGCCGCCACCGCCAUCCUCAUCGGCUGGCGCGACGCCCUGGCCGCGGCCGCGUCGGCGCUCUUGUGA